AAGUCGUAACAAGGUUUCCGUAGGUGAACCUGCGGAAGGAUCAUUAAUGAUUUCUGAGAGGCUCUGCCUUUCUCCUUUCAUAUCCAUAACACCUGUGCACUGUCGGAUGAACAUAGCUCUCGAGCUGUGAGCAUCUUGAUAUUUAUUUUUACCAAACAACUAUGUAACCAAUGUAACUUUAUUAUAAAAUAAUAAAACUUUCAACAACGGAUCUCUUGGCUCUC
RNAcentral lists this unclassified non-coding RNA (224 nucleotides) under Phylloporus sp. Its description in RNAcentral is "partial contains small subunit ribosomal RNA, internal transcribed spacer 1, and 5.8S ribosomal RNA". The stretch from base 1 to 46 matches the Rfam family "Eukaryotic small subunit ribosomal RNA", at positions 1786 to 1831 of the family's 1831-position model. Lineage: Eukaryota; Fungi; Basidiomycota; Agaricomycetes; Boletales; Boletaceae. The record is from RNAcentral.